This 486-nucleotide ribosomal RNA is filed under the name uncultured bacterium. RNAcentral's name for it is "partial 16S ribosomal RNA". It matches the Rfam family "Bacterial small subunit ribosomal RNA", at positions 30 to 507 of the family's 1533-position model. The record is from RNAcentral.
AUUGAACGCUGGCAGCAUGCCUUACACAUGCGAGUCGAACGGCAGCACGGGUGCUUGCACCUGGUGGCGAGUGGCGAACGGGUGAGUAAUACAUCGGAACAUGUCCUGUAGUGGGGGAUAGCCCGGCGAAAGCCGGAUUAAUACCGCAUACGAUCUACGGAUGAAAGCGGGGGACCUUCGGGCCUCGCGCUAUAGGGUUGGCCGAUGGCUGAUUAGCUAGUUGGUGGGGUAAAGGCCUACCAAGGCGACGAUCAGUAGCUGGUCUGAGAGGACGACCAGCCACACUGGGACUGAGACACGGCCCAGACUCCUACGGGAGGCAGCAGUGGGGAAUUUUGGACAAUGGGCGAAAGCCUGAUCCAGCAAUGCCGCGUGUGUGAAGAAGGCCUUCGGGUUGUAAAGCACUUUUGUCCGGAAAGAAAUCCUUGGCCCUAAUACGGUCGGGGGAUGACGGUACCGGAAGAAUAAGCACCGGCUAACUACGUG